UUAUAACGUAUCUGUCAAUCUACACAAGCAGCACUUUCGUGGAUUACCUACUUUUCUAAUCAUCUAGAUGUGUGAGUUUGAGUCAUAGUCAUUACCCAACAAAAUUUCAGACGAAAUAAUUUACAAAUGAUGCAAUAAUUCUACAUCUAGACAUUGGCCUAAGCGCCAUGAAAUGGGAAGUAACAGUCAAGGCUGCUUUCCGAAGGUGUUAAGAACAAGACCUGGCGUAUCCUAUUCUGUCUGUUCAAAUAAUAAAUAUGUAGAUUGAAAAGAGAGGCGAGAGGUGUGGUGAAUGUGAGUUUCUUGCAUUGAAUAUUUCAAUGAAACAGGGCCGUGUAUUUGCACCAAUUUUAAACCACACAGUCAAAUAAUCGCACAAUACCUACAAAAUCACCCAUCAUUCAUGAAAUUUUGAAUUAAAAAAAGAAAGGAAAAAACUCAACACUAGGAGAAAAUUAAGAUACGGUCCUGUUUCACCCAAUUGGCGUACAUGGGUAUAGACUCCAAGUGUUGUAUAGCCUACGGUACUUUUUUUAUUCGAUGUCUGUGGAAAUUUCCACGAUCGUUUGAGAAUUCAGACUCAGUGGCGUACCAGGAAUUUAGGUAAUUUGCAAAUAAUAUGAGCAAUUUAUCCGUCCUUGAAUCCGUGUGACUAAGUUUCUCAAAAAAUAUUUUUAUGACUUGUAAUAAAUUUUUUAUCAGUGA
This is a long non-coding RNA of Tribolium madens (black flour beetle), 705 nucleotides long. RefSeq lists it as uncharacterized. The record is from RefSeq and is a predicted model, not a curated record. NCBI's taxonomy places the organism in Eukaryota, Metazoa, Arthropoda, Insecta, Coleoptera, Tenebrionidae. The transcript is spliced from 2 exons.